RNAcentral lists this long non-coding RNA (577 nucleotides) under Mytilus galloprovincialis (Mediterranean mussel). Lineage: Eukaryota; Metazoa; Mollusca; Bivalvia; Mytilida; Mytilidae. The record is from RNAcentral.
UGUUUUGGUCUGUUUUUCUCAUACUAUAUGCAAUAGGUCUACUAUAUUUGUUGUAUUGAACGAUUGUAAGGUGUACAUGUCUAACGGGCAGAUGUCAUGUGACCUUGACCUCAUUUUCAUGGUUCAGUGGUCAAAGUUAAGUUUUUGAGUUUUGGUCUUUUUAUCUAAUACUAUAUGCCAUAGGUCAACUGUAUUUGGUGUAUGGAAAUAUUUUAUGAUCUUUUUAUGUAAGUCGCACAGGUUUUAUUUGACCGUGACCUCAUUUUCACGGUUCAUUGCACAGUGUUAAGGUUUUGUGUUUUGGUCUAUUUUUCUUAAACUAUAAGUAAUCGGUCAACUAUAUAUGUUGUAUAGAAGCAUUGUUAGCUGUACAUGUCUGCCUGGCAUGGUUCAUCUGACCUUGACCUCAUUUUCAAGGUUCAUUGGUCUAUGUUUAGUUAUCUUGGUUAAUGUUAAGUUUAUGUGACAAUUGUUAUAAAGCUUAGCUUUAUACUUAGGACUAUCAACAUAAUAUCAAUGAUUAGUAUAGAAGGCGAGACAUUUCAGCGUGUGCACUCUUGUGUAUUUUAGGCAACAU